This 76-nucleotide transfer RNA is filed under the name Parabacteroides distasonis. Its description in RNAcentral is "tRNA-Arg". It matches the Rfam family "tRNA". From Rfam's summary of the family: Transfer RNA (tRNA) molecules are approximately 80 nucleotides in length. Their secondary structure includes four short double-helical elements and three loops (D, anti-codon, and T loops). The record is from RNAcentral. RNAcentral also lists the same sequence under 5 other names. Lineage: Bacteria; Pseudomonadati; Bacteroidota; Bacteroidia; Bacteroidales; Tannerellaceae.
GGGGAGUUAAUUUAACGGAUAGAAUUUACGAUUCCUAAUCGUAGCGUGGAUAAGGGUUCGAUUCCCCCACUCCCCA